CCGCAAACCAGUCUAUUUUUUUUCAUGGCGCCGCACUAGCAAUUAGUGGAGAAGUGAAAUAAACUGCUAUAGGAAAAUGUGCGUGUCAGGUUCUCGAACUAACAAACGCCGAAAUUUUGUCGGUCGCCAUUUUGUUACAAAUUAGCGGCAGAUUUGAAUGAAUUUCCCAACGCGUUUUUCAAUUGUAUGGACAUAUUCUCCAAGUGUAAACAUUUUUUACAUAAUUCAUAAAAGGAACCUGCUGAACGUCUUGCAGGUCUGUCAAACUCGUCGCCUAGCUGCUUCAAUGUGAUGCUAUACAAAACUGCACGCAUCUUCACAUCAGCACAAAGAAUGGCUUGCUUUGAAAGUCCAUAGAUGACCAUGAAGACCAUCUUGAACGUACACAUGGAUGGUAGACGUAUCCAGCCUGGUCUAACCUUCCACAACUGUCAUUGGUUAUCAUGCCAAGCACAGGAACUACACAGGCAUGAUUUUUCUUCGACCCAGCACCACCCUGGCGGCUCAGAUGGGUGUGAUGCUCAACGCAGCAUGAUUGAUUGCCCAAAAAAACUUACAAGAUGACAUCAACAAACACCUCAAGUCGGCAGAAGUUUGUCUUUCUCAAACUGCUGGAUGUCGCUUCAGUAAGCCGUCUGUCGAAUUGCAAGCAAUCAACAUUUGACCGGAUGAGCUGCCAAGUUUCAGUCGAUUCCACUGAUUCCUGAAAGCCAACAUGAAACAGUCUGAGAUGAUCUGGAGAUCUCUCUUGCCUGGAUGUUGUGAGAUGCCAUUCAGCAACACAAAUAUCUCUUCAAAGAUACUCCCCUGUACAUCUCCAUUGGAUUUGCAUAUUGACUACAUGGACUUCACGAGCUACGACACGACCAGCAGGACUUGCACAAGACCAAAUUGACUUCCUCCAACAUAAUUUCCUGGAGUACUUCCACUCUCAAUAUCAGUGUGCCAUGAGAAUUGAAUUUUCAUUUUGCUCGACGCACAAAAUUCCUCAGAAACGUCUUGAAAAGCUGUGUUUUACUCCAAUCUGAGAAGGACUGACUUAUGAUACUACACUCGGGAUCCUGUGUACCUUCACCAGUCUCAACAAAUGUUCAGAGAACUGCCGAGAAAUGAUUGAGAGAUACCUGUUGUGCACCAGAGGACGUGAGGUCACCAUUGAACCAAUCAUGGGAGAUGUACAUCAGCUUUGAACUGACUGCCUGAGGAGUUCCAUCAAGAGCUGUCUUCUGCCAGCUGCAAAAACACUGGAUGAUUCACAUUGACUGUUGCAAUCUGGCAGAGACUUUUGAAACCUCUAUUAAAACGAACUCUUUUGGAAUGGAACUCUUUUGCAACGGAACUCUUUAGAAAUGGAACUCUUUAGAAACGGAACUCUGUUGAAACGGAACUCUUAUGAAACAGAAAACUUUUUGAAAUGGAACUUGUUUGAAAUGGAUCUCUUGUGAAAAGCAACUCUUCUGAAAUGGAACUCUAUUGCAACGGAACUCUUUUGAAAUGGACCUUUGUUGAAACGCAACUCUUAUGAAACAGAACUUUUUUGAAACGGAACUCUAUUGAACGGAACUCUUUUGAAAUGGAACUCUUGUGAAACGGAACUCUUGUGAAACGGAACUCUUUUAAAAUCGAACUCUUUUGAAAUGGAACUCUUGUGAAACAGAACUCUUUUGAAACGGAACUCUGUUGAAACAGAACUCUUAUGGGACAUAACUUUUCGGAAACGAAACUCUUUUGAAACGGAACUCUUUUGAAACGGAACUCUUUUGAAAGGACGUCUUAUAUUUUAGUAGAGGUCUCUCUCUCUCUCCUUAAGGUCACUGAAGAUCUUGAGACCCUUUAUGCAAAAUGGGUUGCCUAGGGUGACCACAUUGUGAAAAAAAUAAUGUCUAGAAACAUCAAGGCCUCUUGCAAAAAAUGCAAAAUGUCCUUUAACAGUAUACGCUUGAGAUAUGAUCCUCUUAAAUUCUUUUUGCAAAGACAAUUGUCAGCCAAAAGCCUUCAAAACGUAAUACUGUUUGGUGAUCUACAAUUGAUGGCACCAUAGCUAAGAACUCAUCAAACCACAAUUCAUGUAGUUAAAAACAUGGGGACAUGGUCCUCUAAAAUUCUUUCUGCAAAGGAACUUGUUGGCUGAAAACCUUCAAAACGUAAUAUUGUUUGGUGGAUCCACAAUUGAUGGCAUUCAUAGCCGAGAUCAGAUCAAACCACAAUUCAUAAAAAUGGAGGAGAGGCCUCUACAAAUGACACGUAACCAGCCUCUCACAGCAAUCAUUUGUUCAGGCGCAGUUCAUAAAAGUGAUUAGGCAAUGGUUUCAUUAACCAAAUUCAGUUCUAUUCAUUAGCUAAAACAGUCACUUAUUGCAAAAAACAAAAAAAUAGACAGUUUAAGCGCUGCAUUUCAAUUUCCUAAUGAUGCACUCUUUUUUGGUGCAUUUUUUAAAGAAUCAAUCAAUCAAUUUCUUGGACAAGAUUUGCUAAAACCAAGGACUGCUCAAAAUGCAGAAAUCUUCUCACAGAGAAAUGUUUAUGAGGCAAUGUUUAUAACAGAGAGAGCUGGUUACGUUUAAUUGAUAUUUUAAUCUAAAUUAUUUCUUCAUGGCAUUGCCUGAUUGGUAAUAGCUGGGUGCAAGAUUGGUUUCUCUUGAACAAAAUUCUUUAACAACAAAGUAUCUUUGCGCGCAAUUUGAACCCACUUCUUUGAACCAAACUUUCCAAAUUUACCAUAUUGAACCCAAAAUCUCUCAUCUAGACUCACAUUUUGGUUCAAAUUUAAAUCAAAAACUAUUUCUUUAGAUUCCAACAAACCUAAAUAGCUUUGCAUUAAAACUACCAACUGGAAAUACUCUGUCAAAAAUCCAAUGUGGCUAAAAAGUACAACAAAUUAACGUUUUGUUUUUAUAUCUUCAAAUUUGUCUCCAGAAAUGAGUUUUCAAAAUCCUUGAUGCAUUUUCCAGUACAUCAUAACUUAGCUACCUACUAUCAGCAGCCAUGCCAAUCUUGUACCCAGCUUUUGUUUAUCAAGUAUAGUCAGCACUGGUCCAAUGUAUUAAGACAAAGUUUGGCAGUGAAUGAAAAAUAUUGGCGUUAAUCACACAUUUACUAAAAAGUUGCAAACUGCGCAUUUCAAAGCGAAAACACUCACAAAAAUAACUGCAUUUUACAAACUUGACAGCUUACUACACGAAGUUGUUUUUUCAUGUGCGCGCAUGUUGAUUACUUCAAGAAAGCAGUUUUGACUUGUUCAUUUGUCAAGCAAUACAAAACAAAUGCUAACCACUGUUCAUUACUUACUGAGUGCCAAUGAUCAAAACUUUAUCUUCAUCCUACAAAGUACAGAACAAAUGAUGCUUCUAGUGCUGGCUAUACAUUUACAAAUGUACAUGCAAAAUCUGUUAUGAUAAUUUGUUGAGUAACCAACCAAUAUACUUGACGUUUAACCAACAGGCAAUGUAAUGAUAUGCUCGAGCCCAACGCAUGCAAGUCCCCCCGGGGCGUGCAUGUGCGGUGUUCCCCGCCCGCAGAUGCCGGCUUGUCUGGUGGGUCGUCCCUAUCUGCAUUGGCGAGUGGUCAGUUGUUCAAGGUGUGUGCUAACUUCCUGAGCUUGUGGUCUGGAUAAUCGUGGAUGACUUGGUUGACUUCAACAUGGUAAGGAUCCUUUUGAACUUUGACAAUCAGUUUGCCUUUCUGCAAAGAGAUGUCUUUUUGGCUGUUUCUUUACCGAGUGUUGCUGUGGAAAUUAUGUACCAUCUAUCAAUCUGGAGAUUGCAAAUCUAGAGAUCAAUCGAGCAUCUACUCUUGAUGUCCUGCUUGCAUUUCAAUAGUUCCAUGGCAUCAUGUUGAUCCAAAUGAUCUGCUAACAAAUGGGUACUGUUGCUGGUAUAUCUGAUGUUCUUCAAUGCGGUUUGAUUUUCGGACAGGUGUUUCAGCCGCUAUUUAUGUGAAUAACUUCCAUGGUAUAACUCUGAAAUCUCAUUGCCUUUUAUUGUGUCAUCAUGUACAAUCAGUUCUCUCAUAGAGUGUGUUCAAAUCUAAGACAUGCACGGAUAAAAAUAAGGAAAUAUCAAAGGAAAUCCGUUAAAAUGAACUGAAUCAAAUGUCAAAUCUGCUCUAAAUUCAGCAUCUGAUGUAUCACUUAAAAAAAUGAGUUUGCAAAUAAUAUAUGUGUUUUUGGCAGCAUACGAAUCUUAACUUGAUAAACAUAAGCAAGUGAUUUACAAAAUUCCCAAAUUCAAAAAAAGGCAGCUUCCCUGCCUGAAAUAUUCAAAAUGUGAAAUGUUUGUGUCUUAAAAAAAAAAAAAAAAAAAACUGAAGAAGAAAAAAAUCCUCACUUCAAAGCAACUUUUAAAGAGACUUUAAAAAUUCAAACGCUCUUAUAAAAACCCAAAGGAAACAAAUCUCAUUAUAAAAUUCAAAAAGCAAUGAAUGGGCUAUUGCCAUCAUAUUUAUCCUCAAAACUGCACUACAAAACAAAACAAUGGAGUGAAAAUUUUAAGAAAUGUUGAGAAAAAGGAGAGAAGGCCAAACUCUUCAAAUUGUAGGGGAGAAGUCCUGGUGUGCAGAGGGGGAGAACCAUGCUGCUUCCUGGCCAGAUGGAAGAUGUGGUGGACAACAAGGCCCCCUGCAUCCUAACAUAUAGAAGCUGUGGUGUCAGACACAGGGAGCCAGUCCUGCCAGAUGGAUCCAUGGUAAGUUUAAUUGAAGUUUUCUAGAAUGAAUUCAUGCACUGUGUACAUCCUCAUUGCUUGCUAAACCCAACGGUAAAAUGUGUAUCUCAUGGCUAGGAGUAAACGCUAUCUGUCUGCAUUACAGGAAAACAGUAUUGUGCAUUAUAGUCUUCAGUCUGUGGCAAUACCAAUUAGCCUCAAUCUGGCACUUGUGAAAAUAAAGUAAGAGAAACAAAAAGUCUGCUAUUUGUCAUCUGCAAUCAAAAUUGGAUCAAGGCAUUGACGUCACAAAUCUAGGCACUGGUCAGUCCUCAUACAAUUGUGAUAUUGCUGAAGAGAUGUCAAUAUUUUUCUUAUGAGUGUCCAUUAAGUUCUACAAUUGUACAGAGAUGCAGCCAUUUCAUUGGUGCGCAAACAUCUCACUCAAUCUCGGCAAACUUUUUGGACUCGACACUCACUGCAAGCACUCAACGUGCUGCUACUCAACUCAUGGUCAAAUGUUCUGACCUCUGCACUCCAAUCCUAUGAUUGGAUAAAACCUUGGGCUUGAGCAAUCACUGCAGCCUCCCAUAGAUUCAUCACCUACCUGAUAGGUGGUUGCAUGGGGGAAUCCCCUACCAGGUCUGUUUAAAAGGACCUUUUGUGAUCACAACUGUGUGAUCUGAUCUGCUCACUUGUCUGCAGUGAAAACCAUAUCAAAGUGUGCUCUUGAGCAAUUUGAAAUUAAGAUGCACUUUUAAAAAAGCCUUGGAAAUCUACGCUUGCAACAAAAGCAAUUCCAUCUUCAUGAUUGACACAGAUUCAACUGAAAAAAACUACUAAAGCAAAGCUCAUGAAAAGCUAAAAUAAAUGUCAUGCCUUGUAUCGACAUGUUUUUCUGUAUGCAAAGCAUUUGUUAAAAGAAGAAGACAUUUAACUUUGAAUGUCUUCAGGGUCCUGGAAGAUCUUCACCUUAAGUCUGGCCUGUCACAUCUUUGAGAUUUUCAAUUGAAUUUAUUCUUAUUGACCAGCUUGUACUAUAGUGCACUACCUUGGAGAAGAAAAUUUGUCAUUGUACACUACCUUUCGGAAGAAAGUUAUCAUAAAUGCACUUAAGAUUGUACCUGUAAAUGUACAUUGUUCGUACAAUGUCUCGUCAAAGAGCAGCAAUUGAAUCUUAGUAUGAUUGUAAAACUUCCUGCAAAGAAGUCAAAUCACUGAGUAGAUUUUGCAAAAAACUCAAUCUGGUCUGAGUUGGACCACCUGCCAAGAAACAAAUCCUGAACUGUUUUGUGCAUCUUUGAGAGGUUGCUGAAACCAAUCUGACAUUGAAAUUAAUUUAUCUUGUCACACCAGCAGAGGACUUCAAUUUAUUUCUCACUAUCUGGUUUGACUCAUGACUUUGUCAAAAUAAAAAGUGCAAAAUGAUAUCGCACUUUGCAUCAAACUGACACACUUGAAUCUAAUUUUAACUCGACCAAAACUGAAAUUCUAGUAAUACGGCUUUUGGGGCCUAACGGUAGGGUGCCAUUUGUUAAAUAAGGUGAAGAUCUUUCAGGACACAUGUUGGUAUUGCCACAGACUGAAGACUAGCUAUGCUCCAUGCUUUAACCCUUUAGUGACCACACUUCUCUCAGUGUACUAUGUUUGCCAAGUGCAUUUUCCAGACUGAAGACAGUGGUUUUGUGAAUUGGGACUUAUUUGAAUGCUAAACCAACUGAAAAAAAAAAACCUGUUGAAAAUGCAGUUCUUAUUCCAGGCAAAUUUUGCGAGCUGGGAUUUUUUUUUCACAUACCAAAAUAGCUAACCAGCGAAAUAAACAAACAAAAAACGUUGGUCCUCCUUUGCCACUAUGGGCAAUUCAGUUCUCGCUGCCUCUGGCGGCUAAGGUCACUAAAGGGUUAAAAAGAAAAGUCAAAGGUUUAUGAGUCAUUAUUCGGGUCAAGUUUAGAUUCCGUUGAGUACUAAGAGGGCUGCACGAGCAUACAAAUGUAGGGCAGUUUUCUAAGCAAAUAUGCAAUCUCUUCAAGUCUCUUUAAUAUUGAUCAAAGUACUCUUAGUAUUUUCAUUUGGUAUGAAAAAGCUAAAAGACAAUAUAAAAAAUUCUGUUAAAGGUAAACUUCAUCGAAGCUCUUUAAUUCAAAAUUGUAGUGAAUUAAUACGUCACAGAGUUUGAAUGCAUUUAAAAGAAUUGAGCCUAGAGUGUAGCAUCUGAAAAACAUUUUUUACUGUCACAUAUAAUAAUUCAUUGCAUUUCCUGUCAAUACUGUAAAGACCAUCUCUGAGAAAAUUAUUUUAAUGAAGUGAAUUAAACGUGACGGGAUAAUUAAACAAAAUUGUACAUAGGGUCAAAAUCUGGCAAAUAAAAUAGAUAACCAAAUGAUAAAUGUAGGUGCCUAAUUACAAAACAAAUUAAAAUGUUGAACCCUUCACAUAAUGUUUAGUAGAUGCCUUUGACAUGACUGAAUUAAGGAGUAAAUAAACUCUUAAACAAUCAAGUCAGGACAGCUCAGUAUAAUAAAAUGAAAUUGGAAAACUUGUACAUUUUCUUAGCCAACUAAAUAACAUUACGGUUCAAGUCAGUGGAAUAAUUUAAAGGAAAAUAGUCAGCCCACUAGGAAAAAACAAAGUGAUUCAAAAUAAAUGAACUGGAUAGCCAACUUGGACAGGCACAUUAAUUUUUUCCCGAAUAUUUUUUUGCAAGGAGGCAUUAUUACAAUGUUCCUAACUUCAUGCCUAAAUUUGCUGAGGUAACAGGAGAUCUGAAAUAACUAGGACUUGGCGAUUUUGUUGACAUCCCUUGCUUUGGAACUCAGUUGUAGGUACACCAGGCUCUGUGCAACUGCAAGAGGGAAACAUUUAUAACAUUGUCCCAAGAAAGACAUGUUUAGCCUGUAAAAUUAGUACUUUUUAAAGCGUUUCAAAAGUGAAAGGUCGGUCUUGUCUUAUAGGUUGUAAGGGGCGGGUCCCAGGAUAAAUCUUAACACGAAUGGCAGUUUCGCUGAUGACAAAAUGCAUACUUUGAAAGAGCCUUAUUUUGAAAUUCUGCUCUUUUGUUGACUAACUUAACUUGCAACUCACUUGGCAAAAAACAACCGUGUCAAUCCUUCUGAUACGCAGUCAUCUUGAUUCUAAAGCUUGGCAGUAGGUGUUCCAUGUUCAAAUCCUGCAGGAAUGCUCAAUUUUGUUUGCGAAACAAAAUGGUUGGUCUAGUUCAAUUGCUAAACAAAGUGCAGAUAAAGUGAGUGUAAUUUUCAAUCCAAUCCGUUUUGGUCAGUCGAGAAACCAAGAAAAUAUUUGGCCCAGUUUUGCAUGCUGCAUGAAUAAACAUCACUGAAAUUCCUUCUGAGUCAUGUAGCAAGUGUCUCAGAAACUGCCAUUAAUUUGUCCUGGGGCCUGCCUAGGUUUGCAUGUGAGCAUAAAUGUGCAAUAUCUGUUGUAAUGUGGACUUAUAGCAGUACAGGGCGAGUCAAAAAGAAUGUGACCAAAUUGGAAAAAAAAAUGCUUUUAAAAUACGUCACUCGCUCCAUUUUCGAAAAACAAAAAUGGUAUUGACUAGUAACUGAAAGUUUCACGCAAUUUGCGAACUCUACUCCCAAGUUACGUCUAUUUUUAACAAAAAGAUCAUAAAAAUCAGCUGUCCACCACUGAUCAUUUACUAUUCUACGAACUGAUGAAUAUGCAUUUAAUACAAUGAAACAUGGACGUUUUCCCACUUCCAUGAAUAACAAAAAUUUGCCCCAAAAAAGGGCAAAACUCACUCAGCACUAUUUUGGAAAAUAAAAGAAUUAAAUUGUUUCUCAGAUUCAAAACACAAAAUCUGACAGAAAAACAUAAUGUUUCAGUCUUGACUAAAAUGAUCGAAAUCUCAUUUGUAUUUGAAUGCCUGUGCGUAAUCUGUAAUUCUCACUCGGUUCAAAAGCUUCCAAUGGCAUUAAUGGACAGCUAUCAAAAUAGGUUCUUCUGAUAGCCUGGAUCAAGUUCAGUAAUUCAGACGUAUUUCAUUGAUGUAUCAACUUUGAUUACUUUUUAAGAAAAUACAUUUGUUAAUUUAGGUCACUUUCUUUUUGACUCGCCCUGUAUGUUUACUCUGAAUGCCAUGAUACACAUGUGGGUUUAGCAAGCAAAACAGAUGAGGAUGUAUGUUGUCAUUGUACAGUGCAUGAAUUAAUGAAAACUUCAAUUAAACUUGACCAUGGAUGGCCAUGGCGGGACAAGGCUGUCCCUGUGUCAUGAUGAUGCCACAGCUUCUGAGGAUGCUGAGGGGCAGAUUGCCACCACAUCAACAGUGGCGUAGCUAGAAUGAAGGAGGGGCCACAA
Molecule: long non-coding RNA, 8960 nt
Filed under: Patiria miniata (bat star)
Lineage: Eukaryota; Metazoa; Echinodermata; Asteroidea; Valvatida; Asterinidae
Description: uncharacterized LOC119727460
Source: RNAcentral